This 87-nucleotide transfer RNA is filed under the name Paraburkholderia xenovorans. Its description in RNAcentral is "tRNA-Leu". It matches the Rfam family "tRNA". From Rfam's summary of the family: Transfer RNA (tRNA) molecules are approximately 80 nucleotides in length. Their secondary structure includes four short double-helical elements and three loops (D, anti-codon, and T loops). RNAcentral also lists the same sequence under 1 other name. Lineage: Bacteria; Pseudomonadati; Pseudomonadota; Betaproteobacteria; Burkholderiales; Burkholderiaceae. The record is from RNAcentral.
GCCGGGAUGGCGAAAUAGGUAGACGCCGGGGACUUAAAAUCCCCUAUCCUUACAGAUGUGCGGGUUCGAGUCCCGCUCCCGGCACCA